UAGACUGCAUCAUGUUUAUGGUCACACGCUUUAGAAAAAACAUCAUGAGGUUACAGCUCUAUCUUCUCAUAUGGGCUCAAACUGUAAAUGCUUUGAUGGAUAAACUAACAGAUUUAGGACAGAAUGUGACUAUAAACUGUGAUCUAGAUGUGAAAGAGGUUUAUUGGAUUUUACUAAAACUACCAGAUCCACCAGUUAUCAUAUUGCGCUCCACAAAACAUAAACCUUUUCACCACAAUAUAAAAUAUAUACAAAAAUAUUUUAUUCAAUCUAAACAUCAACUGUUUAUCAAUAAUGUCACUCUUGAUGAGUUAGGAGUUUAUUACUGUAUGAACACAGACUCAGACACAACAAGUAAAACAUUCAGCAAUGUCACCAGAUUACACAUCACUAAUCCAAUUCCAGAAAGCCAAAAUAAAACUGAAGUGACGCAUGUUGGGCCGACUCUGACAGAAUGGAAGAUUAUUGUCAUCGUAUUUGCUGCAUUUAAUGCUGUUAUGCUCAUCGUGGUUAUAGGACUUGCAGUGGCUCUUAUUCAUGAAAGAACCAGAAAAAGCACAAAACAGUGUGAAGAUAUUGACCCACAGGAGCUCAUGGAUUUUGAAAAAGACUCAACCCAAAUCCAGGUAAACAAAUUAUUAUUUAUUAGAAUAAUUGAUGAAGGGCUGUUGAAUGAUUUGAAAUUAAUGCACAACCAAGGUGGUAAUGCAGCACUACAGUAUGUGAAGCUGGUGUGCAUUAUAUUCAAAUAAUUUUAAGGACCGGAGUCAAUUAUUCCUCUUAUACCAAAGUUACCACAAACAUCGCUCUGGUGCCUAUAUAUUUAUAAGACAUUUGACCAGUUAAGUGUGCAGU
Long non-coding RNA from Paramisgurnus dabryanus, 855 nucleotides. RefSeq lists it as uncharacterized. NCBI's taxonomy places the organism in Eukaryota, Metazoa, Chordata, Actinopteri, Cypriniformes, Cobitidae. The record is from RefSeq and is a predicted model, not a curated record.